UGGUCGCUUAACCUAUGUGGUGCCCUACAUGCCGACCAACCAAUGUUUCACCCUUCAUAAGACAUGCCCAUAUUAGGAUGGAUUUGAAGAUCAAAAUUUCAAAGAAUGAAUUACAAUAACUAGAACAAAAAUGAAAAAGACAUUACAAUUAUGGUACAUUUGUAGAGCAGCCAGGGAAGGAGGGUUGGAAUUCUCUGGAGGCAGUUUCUUGCCAAAAAUGCAACUUCACCCAGCUGACUUCAAUUCAUUGCACAUCAGAUAUCAGCUAGUCACNNNUUAAAUGUCCAUUUAAGCCACCACUGUCAAUUUGUAUUCCCCCUUCUGCCAAGUGUUACCAGUGGAUAAGGACCAUCAUCUGGAAUGGUCCUUAACAAUUCCUUGCUAUACAAGUGGUCAAUUCUGAUUCUCAGUGACUUAUCAUGUAAGAUUUGCUCCAUGAACAGAGGAACUCGUUUCUGAAGGGUGUAAAGAGGUGACAUGUUGCUGUGUUUGUGAAUCAUUGAGAAGACCAAGAACUGCUAGCGUCGAUCUAGGUAGUGAAGUUUUGAUAUUUGGUUGACUUGCAUAAGUAGCCAAGGGGCCUCUGAGAUUAGCAUGCUUGUUCAAAGCACUUUCAAGUAGUGGAGGUGGUAACUGUAAUAAUACACGGAAAGAAUGUGGCCUUGUUUGAGACACACAUUUCAGAAACCCAACCCACAAUUUUGGCAUUUUCCACACCUGUCUACUCACAAGUUUGGACAGCAACUCCAUAACAAAAUCAACCAGGGUAGGAAAUGCAUCAACUGCCUGAAUUACUGUUCUCAUGAAGAGUAGAGGCAAUGGGGUUUGAUCAACCAUCUGAUUCAGGGCCUUAGCCAAAACCUGUUGUGUGAAUACUGUGCGUUGCUCAAAACAAGCAGAGCAUGCAUCUGUUAUCUUUUUUAAUGCAAGGCCAUCUUUCUCAGGACUGAUAUCAUGGAUGGCAACCAACACUUCUGCAGGUGUUAAAGCUGGACCCGUAUGAGCUGAACCCUGUAAAAUGUGAGCGAGUGCCAUCUGAAACUUUUCUAUUGGAAGACCAACUAACCGGGGGAAAAUCGGUAAAACCUCAUUCUUGGAGAGCGAAGAUAAUAUUGGAAUUAGUAUAGUAGCAUCCUUCAACUUAGUUUCAUAUAAAUGUUUCACAGUGGCAAUCAGAUCGGCAGAAGGCAUUGUCUCUUGGGUCAAUUUUUGUAGCACCAGCAUCAGAAGAUUUUCACAUCCUUCUGGUGGAUCAGAUAUUAUACGCAGCAGUUCAGAAUAAGAUGACCCNNNNNNNNGCCCUGAUAAGGAUAGGAAUAUUGCGAUGAACAGCCUGCUUCACAGUUUUUGGUGCUCGCCCAUAAAUAUCAAAUACAAGUUGAAGAAGAGUAGGUUUCUGUGUGCAUAAAGCAAAAAAUAAAGAAACUAGUCGUUGAGCUUCAGACAGUGACAUGGUUGACGCACUUUGGACAACCCCUUGUGCACCCCUUGCAGUGUUAGUUUCACAAUUUCCAGUAUCUGAGAGUUGAGAGCCACUGACUGAUGUCUCCUGGCUUCCAACCUCCCCUUCUCUUUGGUCAGUGGACCCUGACUGUGAAAGCUCUGU
Molecule: unclassified non-coding RNA, 1606 nt
Filed under: Hevea brasiliensis (rubber tree)
Lineage: Eukaryota; Viridiplantae; Streptophyta; Magnoliopsida; Malpighiales; Euphorbiaceae
Source: RNAcentral